This is a long non-coding RNA of Strigops habroptila (Kakapo), 682 nucleotides long. RefSeq lists it as uncharacterized. The record is from RefSeq and is a predicted model, not a curated record. The transcript is spliced from 2 exons. NCBI's taxonomy places the organism in Eukaryota, Metazoa, Chordata, Aves, Psittaciformes, Psittacidae.
GCUUUGCCUUAGGUGCUGUGGUGGGAGGAAGUUCAGCCUGCUCCUUUAGGAAGGCUGGUGGUGCUUUGCAGGCCAGGCAGAGCAGGCAGGGUGCAGGCAUGGUCUGGCCCUGGGAUGUGAUGGGUCUGCUGAGGGCUGCCAUGGGUGCCCAGACCACCAGCUCCCUGCAGCCCAUGUGUUUGCUGUGUCGAUGCUGUGUGCUGCAGCUGUUGUACCUGUGCAGGUCCAUUAAUGAAAACAUUGAGCAAACCAGAACCAGGACAAGCCCUUGGCUACCCAAGCAGCCCAGCACUUGUGCCACACUUGCUGUACUUGCUGCCCAAAUGUGAUGGAAGAUUGUGCCAGAGGUGUGCCACUUUGGCUGUGCCUCUCUGCAUCCCCCAGUUCCAUGAGGCCUCUCUGCUUCACCACCCCGGAGCGGUGCUGCGACCACGGUGUGGUCCCGGAGCUGGGGUGAGGCUGGGAAGGGGCAGGGGUGGUGUUCCGGAGCUGAGGCUGCUCCCUUGGGGUCCAGGAUGGCUCCUUUGGGCUGCACGGCAGGGACCUGGAGCCAGCCCAGAGAGCAGCCACCUCCUCUUUAAUUGAUUGUAGAAAGCCAUUUACAAAACACAAAAGCUGCCUGUGCCAAGCUCUAUGUGUCCAGGCAUGGCUUAAUUCCACAGUAAAAUCUCAAUGCAGUGAA